This 406-nucleotide ribosomal RNA is filed under the name uncultured bacterium. Its description in RNAcentral is "bacterial SSU rRNA". It matches the Rfam family "Bacterial small subunit ribosomal RNA", at positions 358 to 776 of the family's 1533-position model. The record is from RNAcentral.
GGAAUAUUGCACAAUGGGCGAAAGCCUGAUGCAGCGACGCCGCGUGAGGGAUGACGGCCUUCGGGUUGUAAACCUCUUUCAGCAGGGAAGAAGCGAGAGUGACGGUACCUGCAGAAGAAGCGCCGGCUAACUACGUGCCAGCAGCCGCGGUAAUACGUAGGGCGCGAGCGUUGUCCGGAAUUAUUGGGCGUAAAGAGCUCGUAGGCGGCUUGUCACGUCGGAUGUGAAAGCCCGGGGCUUAACCCCGGGUCUGCAUUCGAUACGGGCAGGCUAGAGUUCGGUAGGGGAGAUCGGAAUUCCUGGUGUAGCGGUGAAAUGCGCAGAUAUCAGGAGGAACACCGGUGGCGAAGGCGGAUCUCUGGGCCGAUACUGACGCUGAGGAGCGAAAGCGUGGGGAGCGAACAGG